Molecule: transfer RNA, 55 nt
Filed under: Phyllocoptes taishanensis
Lineage: Eukaryota; Metazoa; Arthropoda; Arachnida; Trombidiformes; Eriophyidae
Description: tRNA-His
Source: RNAcentral
GCCGUUAUAGUUUAUUAAAAUAUUAUCUUGUGGAGAUAAAGAAUCUAUGGCAGUA